This 1343-nucleotide long non-coding RNA is filed under the name Nothobranchius furzeri (turquoise killifish). RNAcentral describes it as "lncRNA (ENSNFUG00015006948.1)". Lineage: Eukaryota; Metazoa; Chordata; Actinopteri; Cyprinodontiformes; Nothobranchiidae. The record is from RNAcentral.
CACACACACACACACACACACACACACACACACACACACACACACACACACACACACACACACACACACACACAGUUGUGAUACCUAUUCAAAUAAACCACGCUGUGACAAUGUUGUUUUAUUAUUACUUCUUGUUGCAUCGACAGGAGUUCAGACUCGUUGUCAGGAUGACGUAGAUAAGACGUGGCAUCCACUUGGUUCACGUUGGAGAAACAGUAAAUGCAUGGACUGUGACUGCUCUUCAUGUUGUGCCGCAUAUUCCUCACCAAGAAAGUUCCCCAGUGACUGUGUGUCUGUGUUCGACCCAAAGGCGUGCAAAUACAUUGUGCACAAGAAGAACAACCCAUCUGAGCUUUGUCCAGUUUUUGCUGCUGUGGGAUAAUAGUUGAUGUCAAAUGUGGUCUGAAGGACAGUUCGGGUGAACAUGCAUCAAAAUGAAGAUUUGCAAAGAUCAGGUGGUUUGUUUUUCAAGAGACAUCAGUAUUGUUUUCAUUGUGUACCAUGCAGCAAACAUGAAUGCACCUUGACCUGCAAAUAAAAGCCAGAUUAAACUGAUGAGGUGUAAUUCAUUCAAUAACAGCCAGUAACAGCAGUUAGAUUAGCACAUUCCAUCUAUAGUCCUGGAAGGCCAAAUGUUUGUUUGUUCCAACACUCCUUAAUCAAAUUCCACAUUCUGCAAAAGUCUGUUUUCCUCCAUCUAAACCAAAAUCUCAAAUCAGAAAAUAAAAUACCAAUCGACUCUACAAAGAAAACUCUCAGGAGCAGCUCAUGGUGGCCGAAUUUAUCAAAUUUUCUUUGCAAACAAACAUAUUGUGAGUGUCUCCUAAAAACAUGACAUAGCAGAUAAAUCACAAAUGUUAGAGCGCUGAAUCUCUGUGUUGGGGGUCAUUGAUCUCAGUUAGAAGCAGCCUUCCUCUAACACCACUAGGUGGCGUACAGAGGCAGGCCAUUCCUGUGUUUUGGCAGCGUUGUCUUCAUCACUCUUCUUACUCAGUCAGAGAGAAAGAGAGAGAACACCAGGGAAGUUUUGAAGACCCAUUCAGGGUUUAAGUAUCUUUCUGUUUGGAUGACCUUGACAUAAACAGAAAUCAGGACCAGAAGGAGGAUUUUGGACCUCCUCUCAUCUAUGCUUGACCUGGAGAUGAGAGGGUACCAUCACCAUCACUCCUGCUUUGUCUCACCCCUUUUCUUCAAACUCUCUCAAUCACUCAGAGCUCUCUUGUGGAUUACUGCUGCUUUGUUCUGCUGAAACCAUCUAUGGAGGAUUGACAGACAAGUUUGCACAGAGGAUUAACAACAUUUUUAAGUUGAAGUUGUUGCCUUUUGUUUUGAGACCAGUUUGA